AGCUCCAAUAGCGUAUAUUAAUGCUGUUGCGGUUAAAAAGCUCGUAGUUGGAUUUUGGGGCUCUCCCUUUUUUUGGGAAUUCAUUUGGAGGCUGGUCCGGUGUAAACCGCGUACCGGCCGCCGGGCCCUUUCGUCUGGAGGCCGGGCGCAUCGACUUGAUUGUCGUGCGAUUCCCCCGGUGUCUAGGACAAUUACUUUGAACAAAUUAGAGUGUUUAAAGCAGGCAUUUUCGCCUUGAAUACAUUAGCAUGGAAUAACCACUUAGGACUUUGGUUCUAUUUUGUUGGUUUUAAGAACUGAAGUAAUGAUUAACAGGAACCGUUGGGGCCAUUAGUAUUUAGUUGCCAGAGGUGAAAUUCUUAGACUUACGAAAGACUAACUUCUGCGAAAGCACUUGGCAAGGAGGUUUUCA
RNAcentral lists this ribosomal RNA (412 nucleotides) under uncultured eukaryote. RNAcentral's name for it is "SSU rRNA". It matches the Rfam family "Eukaryotic small subunit ribosomal RNA", at positions 587 to 972 of the family's 1831-position model. The record is from RNAcentral.